UUUCCUUUCUCCUUUCCGCAGACGCCGACUUCCGCCCGCACCCAGCCCUCAGCGCGCGCUCCUCCCGCCGCGCUGCCCGCGCAGCCACCCCGGCGCGGCGCGUGCGUCACGUUGCGGGGGCACGUUAGGCUCACUAAUGGUAAAGGAUCUCAAACAUCUACUUUAUCUCCAUCCCCAGCCCCAUAUGUCUGAGUGAUGUCCAGGCCUGGUUUCACUCCAAAAGGAGAAAAAAGGGAGGAGUGGGGAUCCGUAAAGCUCACAGGAAACCUCCCGAACAGGCCCACCUGGAAACGGCUGCAGGAAGGAAGAAAUUAAUACAUCCUGGAGCCAGGACUUUACCCCCUCCCCUUUUAGUGUAAAAGAAGCAUGAAUUCUAACUCAGGGAAGAUGGUUCUUUGGGACACUAGUCCACCAUCUUCUCCAUCUGCUGCUUUUCCAAAUAAAGUUGUUCUUCCU
Molecule: long non-coding RNA, 456 nt
Organism: Balaenoptera acutorostrata (minke whale)
Lineage: Eukaryota; Metazoa; Chordata; Mammalia; Artiodactyla; Balaenopteridae
Exons: 3
Source: RefSeq, a predicted model, not a curated record